Long non-coding RNA from Cydia strobilella, 578 nucleotides. RefSeq lists it as uncharacterized. NCBI's taxonomy places the organism in Eukaryota, Metazoa, Arthropoda, Insecta, Lepidoptera, Tortricidae. The transcript is spliced from 2 exons. The record is from RefSeq and is a predicted model, not a curated record.
AUAAGUGACGUUGGUCUAGUUCUUUUGGCAUUUCUGUCAACCCAUCUAAGUGCCAGGUCAUUAUUCUGGGUAGUCGAUGGCAACUCUUGAAGUUGGAUGCGGUUUCUGUUGCACCGAUAAUUUUUGACGGCUCGGUCAUCCCAGUUUCGAGUCAAGUGAAGGACCUCGGUUUAAUCAUUGACAGGCAUCUCUCAUGGGACGGGCAACUUUUUGAGAUCAGUCGGAAGGUCACCUGUACCUUACACACACUCUACCGGUUCAAAAACUUCCUUCCGGUAUGCACAAAGAAAUUGCUCGUUCAUGCACUCAUCCUCCCGCUCAUUGAUUAUGCUGAUGUGUGCACAAUUAACUAACAUGGAUCAAAAUUCUCUCAACAAACUCGAUCGACAGGUAAACAAUGGAAUAUGGUUCAUUUUUGGAAUUCGAAAGUUUGAUCAUAUAUCCAGCUACCGUCGCCAGCUCAAGUGGCUUCCCAUAACACCGAUCCUUUCGAAUACUCUCCUCACUCUUCUCUAUCCUAUUCGAGCCCCCCACUCCAGAAUAUCUAAAAUAUAACUUCAGCUUUAUUACCCCCCGCC